This 284-nucleotide long non-coding RNA is filed under the name Lathyrus oleraceus (garden pea). Its description in RNAcentral is "Pisum sativum (pea) long non-coding RNA (PSAT_LNC015450)". The record is from RNAcentral. Lineage: Eukaryota; Viridiplantae; Streptophyta; Magnoliopsida; Fabales; Fabaceae.
AAUAAAUAAAUAAAUAAAUAAUUAAAAUAUAACAAAUUUUGGGUCUCCCUCAUUCCAAGCCCACAAGUCCACGAAAAUCAGCUAUAAAUAUAAGAGUUUCAGUAGGGUUUCAGACACUUGGAAAUUCCCUGAGAAAUAGACUUGGAGUUCACGUGGAGUUUCAAACCUAGGAACUACUCUGCAGCAACCUUCGGGCAGCCCUGAGAAGUUCAUUCCGCCUCGCGCAAACCCUAAACGUUACUUCGCCAAUCCGGCCUUGCCUUCCAAUUUUAACAGGUCUCUCA